UUUUAGAUUUUUUUGAUCAAUAGUUUUAUUUUCUAAAUAUAAUUUUCAAAAAUUCUAUUUUAGGAAAGUUUUCAUUUUUUCAUAGAAAUAUUGUAGAUUUGGGGUUGUGAUUUAGAAAUUUUGAUAACAAUAAUUUUUGUUGAUAGAUGAGUAUUAUUUCAGAUUUUUUUGAUCAAUAGUUGUAUUUUUUAAAUAUAAUUCUCAAAAAUUCUAUUUUAGGAAAGUUUUCAUUUUUUCAUAGAAAUAUUGUAGAUUUGGGGUUGUGGUUUAGAAAUUAGGAUAACAAUAAUUUUUGUUGAUAGAUGAGUAUUCUUUUAAAUUUUUUUGAUCAGUAGUUGUAUUUUUUAAAUAUAAUUUUCAAAAAUUCUAUUUUAGGAAAGUUUUCAUUUUUUCAUAGAAAUAUUGUAGAUUUGGGGUUGUGAUUUAGAAAUUAUGAUAAGAAUAAUUUUUGUUGAUAGAUGAGUAUUAUUUCAGAUUUUUUUGAUCAAUAGUUGUAUUUUUAAAUAUAAUUUCAAAAAUUCUAUUUUAGGAAAGUUUUCAUUUUUUCAUAGAAAUAUUGUAGAUUUGGGUUGUGGUUUAGAAAUUAGGAUAACAAUAAUUUUUGUUGAUAGAUGAGUAUUCUUUUAAAUUUUUUGAUCAAUAGUUGUAUUUUUUAAAUAUAAUUUUCAAAAAUUCUAUUUUAGGAAAGUUUUCAUUUUUUCAUAGAAAUAUUGUAGAUUUGGGGUUGUGAUUUAGAAAUUAGGAUAACAAUAAUUUUUGUUGAUAGAUGAGUAUUAUUUUCAGAUUUUUUUGAUCAAUAGUUGUAUUUUUUAAAUAUAAUUUUCAAAAAUUCUAUUUUAGGAAAGUUUUCAUUUUUUCAUGAAAUAUUGUAGAUUUGGGGUUGUGGUUUAGAAAUUAGGAUAACAAUAAUUUUUGUUGAUAGAUGAGUAUUCUUUUAAUUUUUUGAUCAAGUGUUGUAUUUUUUAAAUAUAAUUUUCAAAAAUUCUAUUUUAGGAAAGUUUUCUUUUUUUCAUAGAUAUUUGUAGAUUUGGGGUUGUGAUUUAGAAAUUAGAUAACAAUAAUUUUUGUUGAUAGAUGAGUAUUAUUUCAGAUUUUUUUGAUCAAUAGUUGUAUUUUUUAAAUAUAAUUUUCAAAAAUUCUAUUUUAGGAAAGUUUUCAUUUUUCAUUAGAAAUAUUGUAGAUUUGGGGUUGUGGUUAGAAAUAGGAUAACAAUAAUUUUUGUUGAUAGAUGAGUAUUCUUUUAGAUUUUUUGAUCAAUAGUUGUAUUUUUUAAAUAUAAUUUUCAAAAUUCUAUUUUAGGAAAGUUUUCAUUUUUUCAUAGAAAUAUUGUAGAUUUGGGGUUGUGAUUUAGAAAUUAGGAUAACAAUAAUUUUUGUUGAUAGAUGAGUAUUCUUUUAAAUUUUUUUGAUCAAUAGUUGUAUUUUUUAAAUAUAAUUUUCAAAAAUUCUAUUUUAGGAAAGUUUUCAUUUUUUCAUGAAAUAUUGUAGAUUUGGGUUGUGGUUUAGAAAUUAGGAUAACAAUAAUUUUUGUUGAUAGAUGAGUAUUCUUUUAGAUUUUUUUGAUCAAUAGUUUAUUUUUUAAAUAUAAUUUCAAAAAUUCUAUUUUAGGAAAUUUUCAUUUUUCAUAGAAAUAUUGUAGAUUUGGGGUUGUGAUUUAGAAAUUAGGAUAACAAUAAUUUUUGUUGAUAGAUGAGUUAUUUUCAGAUUUUUUGAUCAAUAGUUGUAUUUUUUAAAUAUAAUUUUCAAAAAUUCUAUUUUAGGAAAGUUUUCAUUUUUCAUAGAAAUAUUGUAGAUUUGGGUUGUGGUUUAGAAAUUAGGAUAACAAUAAUUUUUGUUGAUAGAUGAGUAUUCUUUUAGAUUUUUUUGAUCAAUAGUUGUAUUUUUAAAUAUAAUUUUCAAAAAUUCUAUUUUAGGAAAGUUUUCAUUUUUCAUAGAAAUAUUGUAGAUUUGGGGUUGUGAUUUAGAAAUUAGGAUAACAAUAAUUUUUGUUGAUAGAUGAGUAUUAUUUUCAGAUUUUUUGAUCAAUAGUUGUAUUUUUAAAUAUAAUUUUCAAAAAUUCUAUUUUAGGAAAGUUUUCAUUUUUUCAAAGAAAUAUUGUAGAUUUGGGGUUGUGAUUUAGAAAUUAGGAUAACAAUAAUUUUUGUUGAUAGAUGAGUAUUCUUUUAAAUUUUUUUGAUAUAGUUGUAUUUUUUAAAUAUAAUUUUCAAAAAUUCUAUUUUAGGAAAGUUUUCAUUUUUUCAUAGAAAUAUUGUAGAUUUGGGGUUGUGGUUAGAAAUUAGGAUAACAAUAAUUUUUGUUGAUAGAUGAGUAUUGGAAAGUUUUCAUUUUUUCAUAGAAAUAUUGUAGAUUUGGGGUUGUGAUUUAGAAAUUAGGAUAACAAUAAUUUUUGUUGAUAGAUGAGUAUUCUUAAAUUUUUGAUCAAUAGUUGUAUUUUUUAAAUAUAAUUUCAAAAAUUCUAUUUUAGGAAAGUUUUCAUUUUUUCAUAGAAAUAUUGUAGAUUUGGGGUUGUGAUUUAGAAAUUAGGAUAACAAUAAUUUUUGUUGAUAGAUGAGUAUUCUUUAAAUUUUUUUGAUCAAUAGUUGUAUUUUUAAAUAUAAUUUUCAAAAAUUCUAUUUUAGGAAAGUUUUCAUUUUUCAUAGAAAUAUUGUAGAUUUGGGGUUGUGAUUUAGAAAUAGGAUAACAAUAAUUUUUGUUGAUAGAUGAGUAUUUUUAGAUUUUUUUGAUCAAUAGUUGUAUUUUUUAAAUAUAAUUCUCAAAAAUUAUAUUUUAGGAAAGUUUUCAUUUUUUCAUAGAAAUAUUGUAGAUUUGGGGUUGUGGUUUAGAAAUUAGGAUAACAAUAAUUUUUGUUGAUAGAUGAGUAUUCUUUUAGAUUUUUUUGAUCAAUAGUUUUAUUUUCUAAAUAUAAUUUUCAAAAAUUCUAUUUUAGGAAAGUUUUCAUUUUUUCAUAGAAAUAUUGUAGAUUUGGGGUUGUGAUUUAGAAAAUUUGAUAACAAUA
This 2994-nucleotide long non-coding RNA is filed under the name Brassica rapa (field mustard). Its description in RNAcentral is "long non-coding RNA (BRAP_LNC004739)". The record is from RNAcentral. Lineage: Eukaryota; Viridiplantae; Streptophyta; Magnoliopsida; Brassicales; Brassicaceae.